AACUUCACUACUACUUAAAACUAAAAGACAAUAUUUUCUCUCUACGCUAAGCUCAAAUCUAUGAUAUUCUUACCAAGCAAUAUCCUUCUUCUUCUUCUUGAUCUAGCUUCUUCUUUUUUGAAUUGACAAGUGGUUUUAUUCUUAUUACUACUCCAUCACUUAUAGCUGAGGUACAUACUACAUCCUCAUUCUCCGAUCCCUUUUAUUAAUUUUCUCAUAAUAUUGUUUAUAUAUAUAUUUUAAUUCUAAUGUUAGAAAGGACAUUUAACAGGCAGAAAUGAUCAGCAACGUAAAGCUUGAGCCAUCGCUUGAUGAAAACCAGCUGAACUUAGAUAAUAAAAUUAGUGCAAGUUGUGAUAUCACUGUGGACAUGAAAAGUGAUGAAGAGAUUUCUAAGCCAUUUGUUCCUAGUGUUAAGAUAAAGAAGUUUGCUGAUGAUGAUUCUUUACUGAUUGAAACCUUAGCUCAAAAGGAUGUUGCUCUAACAUCGGGUUUGUUUCAAAUUCUUGAAGAAGAAAAGCUUGACAUAGUUUUUGAGAAUCAGUAUAGAACUGAAACCAAAGUAGCUCACACACUCCAGGUAAUGACCACCCUAUCUUAAUUAAUUACGUCAUUUAUCAACUAACAACAAAAUAAUAUAUAUAUAUAUAUAUAUAACUGAAGUUCAGACUUCCACACUAAUUGAUCUUUCAAUAAUUUAAAAUUGUGUGUAUGAUUGAGCUAUUUGCUUUUGCAAUAUAACGUAUAAGACCAAGUUCAACCCUAAAAGUACCAUACCAUAAAUAUACUCAUAAAAGGACAUUAUGAUUGAGCUAUUUUCUUUUAGAUUUUUUAUCAGAUUGUUUUUUCUUGAUUUUGGAACAAAAUAUUCAACUUUGAACUUUCCAUUUCGGUUGUUGCCUUGUUGGACCAUUUUUUGGACUUGUUUCAUAUGAUAUUUGUUUUGGUUUUUGAACAAAAUAUUCAAGUUCAUAAGUAACACAGGAAAUUUGGAUGGAAACCUAUAUUUAAUGAAAUCAAUAACUCGAUAUUAUCACAUAAAAUUCUUAUGGCCACCAGAGCUAAGCUAGCUAGCACCUGCUCUGUGUUGUUUCUUAAUAUUAAUGGAUCUUUAUAUGUCUAAAAUCUAGCUAGUUGUUGUUGUUUUUUUUGUUUUUGGAAAAAUUAAUAUAUAGUUUGUUCUUCAUGAAUUUUUAAUUAUUUUUAAGCUAUUAAUUUCUGUUACAGUACUAUUGUAUUAUUAUUGUUAUUAUUCAAGUUAAUUUUAUAAUGUUGUUUUUUUUGCCAGUUCAAUUUGAUAAUGUUGAAUGUAUGAACGUAUUAUUAGGUGAAAGUGCAACCUGGAUACAACGUAGUCCUUGGAGAUGAAGCUACGUGUGUGGGCAGGGAAUCCCAUGUCACUGUCAGAAACAAUUGUUGAUUGUCAUAUCUAGCUACCACAUCAAUUGUCCAACGUCCAUGUCUGAAUUGAUUUGGAUAAUCAUGUCUACUACUGGUCAUUUGUUCAGUGAACUGUGAACAUGUUCUAUCGAUUCGUUUCUUAAAUAAAAUUAGUAUUGUUCAAUCUAGUUAAAUAUCUUUGAUAUCUGUUCAUGGAUUUAUUGUUAAAACAUA
RNAcentral lists this long non-coding RNA (1614 nucleotides) under Aquilegia coerulea. RNAcentral's name for it is "long non-coding RNA (ACOE_LNC001560)". Lineage: Eukaryota; Viridiplantae; Streptophyta; Magnoliopsida; Ranunculales; Ranunculaceae. The record is from RNAcentral.